RNAcentral lists this ribosomal RNA (492 nucleotides) under uncultured bacterium. RNAcentral describes it as "partial 16S ribosomal RNA". It matches the Rfam family "Bacterial small subunit ribosomal RNA", at positions 29 to 507 of the family's 1533-position model. The record is from RNAcentral.
AGUGAACGCUGGCGGUAGGCCUAACACAUGCAAGUCGAACGGCAGCACAGUAAGAGCUUGCUCUUACGGGUGGCGAGUGGCGGACGGGUGAGGAAUACAUCGGAAUCUACUUUUUCGUGGGGGAUAACGUAGGGAAACUUACGCUAAUACCGCAUACGACCUACGGGUGAAAGCAGGGGAUCUUCGGACCUUGCGCGAUUGAAUGAGCCGAUGUCGGAUUAGCUAGUUGGCCGGGUAAUGGCCCACCAAGGCGACGAUCCGUAGCUGGUCGGAGAGGAUGAUCAGACACACUGGAACUGAGACACGGUCCAGACUCCUACGGGAGGCAGCAGUGGGGAAUAUUGGACAAUGGGCGAAAGCCUGAUACAGCCAUACCGCGUGGGUGAAGAAGGCCUUCGGGUUGUAAAGCCCUUUUGUUGGGAAAGAAAAGAAGCAGGUUAAUACACCGCUGUUAUGACGGUACCGAAAGAAUAAGCACCGGCUAACUUCGUG